This is a long non-coding RNA of Pseudopipra pipra, 407 nucleotides long. RefSeq lists it as uncharacterized. NCBI's taxonomy places the organism in Eukaryota, Metazoa, Chordata, Aves, Passeriformes, Pipridae. The record is from RefSeq and is a predicted model, not a curated record. The transcript has 2 exons.
UCCAACCUGGUUGAUUCUACGAUUCUAUGAUUUCACUUGUUCCAUAUUUUAUUUCUUCAGUUUUGUUGAUUCCUUUUUUUUGUUGCAUUUUAUCUUUGUUACAGAAUUCGUCUUUGCAGGACACCAAAUGAGAAGCAUGUUUAAACAACUGUUUCCACCAUUCCCUAAAAAAUUGUUCUCUUAUGAUACACUACUUGCAAAAUGAUACUCUGAAAGGUCUGGAAACUCCCCUGCAAGAAAAGUUAGUUUUGUUUCUUCUUGAUGUGUUGUUUGUUUGUUUGUUUGUUUUUAAUUUUGUAAGAUUGUGCAGUUUGUUUUUGCUUGGUUAGUUUGGCCUUUUUUUUCCUAUAAUCAAUGGCCAACAAAAUAAUGAAUUACAGAGUUCUCAUACAUCCUCUUUUGACACA